RNAcentral lists this ribosomal RNA (429 nucleotides) under Pseudomonadota bacterium. RNAcentral describes it as "Proteobacteria bacterium partial 16S ribosomal RNA". It matches the Rfam family "Bacterial small subunit ribosomal RNA", at positions 355 to 776 of the family's 1533-position model. Lineage: Bacteria; Pseudomonadati; Pseudomonadota. The record is from RNAcentral.
UGGGGAAUAUUGGACAAUGGGCGAAAGCCUGAUCCAGCCAUGCCGCGUGUGUGAAGAAGGUCUUCGGAUUGUAAAGCACUUUAAGUUGGGAGGAAGGGCAGUAAGCGAAUACCUUGCUGUUUUGACGUUACCGACAGAAUAAGCACCGGCUAACUCUGUGCCAGCAGCCGCGGUAAUACAGAGGGUGCAAGCGUUAAUCGGAAUUACUGGGCGUAAAGCGCGCGUAAGUGGUUCGUUAAGUUGAAUGUGAAAGCCCCGGGCUCAACCUGGGAACUGCAUCCAAAACAGGCGAGCUAGAGUAGGGCAGAGGGUGGUGGAAUUUCCUGUGUAGCGGUGAAAUGCGUAGAUAUAGGAAGGAACACCAGUGGCGAAGGCGACCACCUGGGCUCAUACUGACACUGAGGUGCGAAAGCGUGGGGAGCAAACAGG